RNAcentral lists this ribosomal RNA (1044 nucleotides) under uncultured Tomentella/Thelophora. RNAcentral describes it as "eukaryotic LSU rRNA". The stretch from base 649 to 1044 matches the Rfam family "Eukaryotic large subunit ribosomal RNA", at positions 1 to 389 of the family's 3401-position model. The record is from RNAcentral. Lineage: Eukaryota; Fungi; Basidiomycota; Agaricomycetes; Thelephorales; Thelephoraceae.
AUUCUUGGUCAUUUAGAGGAAGUAAAAGUCGUAACAAGGUUUCCGUAGGUGAACCUGCGGAAGGAUCAUUACUGAACUGUCGACACGAGUUGUUGCUGGUCCUCGAAAGGGGGCACGUGCACACUCUGUUUACACAUCCACUCACACCUGUGCACCCUUGUAGUUCUAUGGCCUGGGGACUCUGUCCUCUUGCUGUGGUCCUACGCCUUUACACACACACCGUAACAAAGUAUCAUGGAAUGUAUGCCGCGUCUAACGCAAUACAAUACAACUUUCAGCAACGGAUCUCUUGGCUCUCGCAUCGAUGAAGAACGCAGCGAAAUGCGAUAAGUAAUGUGAAUUGCAGAAUUCAGUGAAUCAUCGAAUCUUUGAACGCACCUUGCGCCCUUUGGCUAUUCCGAAGGGCAUGCCUGUUUGAGUAUCAUGAACACCUCAACUCUCAUGGUCUGCCAUGAUGAGCUUGGACUUUGGGGGUCUUGCCGGCGUAACCGUCGGCUCCUCUCAAACGAAUCAGCUUGCCAGUGUUUGGUGGCGUCACAGGUGUGAUAACUAUCUACGCUUGUGGUCUCCCAUCAGGUUACCUUCAGUAAUGGGGGUUCGCUGGAGCUCACAGACGUCUCUCCUCAGCGAGGACAGCUUUUUAAUGUUUGAUCUCAAAUCAGGUAGGACUACCCGCUGAACUUAAGCAUAUCAAUAAGCGGAGGAAAAGAAACUAACAAGGAUUCCCCUAGUAACUGCGAGUGAAGCGGGAAGAGCUCAAAUUUAAAAUCUGGCGUGCCUCUGGUCGUCCGAGUUGUAGUCUGGAGAAGUGUUUUCCGUGUUGGACCGUGUAUAAGUCUCUUGGAACAGGGCGUCAUAGAGGGUGAGAAUCCCGUCUUUGACACGGACUACCAAUGCUUUGUGAUGCGCUCUCAAAGAGUCGAGUUGUUUGGGAAUGCAGCUCAAAAUGGGUGGUAAAUUCCAUCUAAAGCUAAAUAUAGGCGAGAGACCGAUAGCGAACAAGUACCGUGAGGGAAAGAUGAAAAGAAUCGUCGACCUGCAGGC